ACUCAGCACUUCCUAUUAUUACAAAGGCCAAGCCCAGGAGGCUCUAUCAAGGCUGACGGCUGUAAAACCACACUGUUCUUCUGGCUCCUGGGACGUUCUCUGUCCGUACAAUAAAAGGUUGUUCCAGAAGGGAUGUGUGCAGCUCAUCCCAAUAUUUGAUGGUGCCAAUAUUAUGUGACCAACUUUACAAGGACAUUUGGUGUACAUCUCAGAAGCUGACAGUGAGGGUGGAGAGCAUACGCUCCCUAAACACACAGGAGGGGUAUGGUUGUGCUUGGGCAGAGGCACCAUGUCGGCAGGAGAAAGGUUAUUUACACGCAAUCCUCCAGGCUGACGCUAGUCACGCUGCAUG
Non-coding RNA from Cricetulus griseus (Chinese hamster), 352 nucleotides. The record is from RefSeq and is a predicted model, not a curated record. Lineage: Eukaryota; Metazoa; Chordata; Mammalia; Rodentia; Cricetidae.